GACGAACGCUGGCGGCGUGCUUAACACAUGCAAGUCGAACGGAAAGGCCCCUUUGGGGGUACUCGAGUGGCGAACGGGUGAGUAACACGUGAGUAACCUGCCCUUGACUUCGGGAUAACUUCAGGAAACUGGGGCUAAUACCGGAUAGGAAUCCUUGCUGCAUGGUGGGGGUUGGAAAGCUUCGGCGGUUUUGGAUGGACUCGCGGCUUAUCAGCUUGUUGGUGGGGUAGUGGCUUACCAAGGCUUUGACGGGUAGCCGGCCUGAGAGGGCGACCGGCCACAUUGGGACUGAGAUACGGCCCAGACUCCUACGGGAGGCAGCAGUGGGGAAUAUUGCACAAUGGGCGGAAGCCUGAUGCAGCAACGCCGCGGGCGGGAGGACGGCCUUCGGGUUGGAAACCGCUUUCAGCAGGGGCGAAGCUUGUGGUGACGGUACCUGCAGAAGAAGCACCGGCUAACUACGUG
RNAcentral lists this ribosomal RNA (465 nucleotides) under uncultured bacterium. RNAcentral describes it as "partial 16S ribosomal RNA". It matches the Rfam family "Bacterial small subunit ribosomal RNA", at positions 28 to 507 of the family's 1533-position model. The record is from RNAcentral.